CAGUUUAGGUCAGUUCCAGUCAGUUUCGCUACCUCCAUCUUUUUCUUCCCAUGUUAUCCGCAAAUCAAGUUUCCAGUUGCAAAACUGGAUCGUGGGUUUAGAGUUCAAGCGGUUUAUUCCCUUUGUCAGUUCACCCCCACUCUCCUAAAUUUUUGCAACUACAACAACUUCAUAUACCACUAACUCGCUUUUGGAUUGAAGAAGACACAAGCUCCCCAAGAAACGCACCAAAAGACCAUGUACGUCCUCUUUCCCGAUCCCAACAUCGGAUAUACUAAAUUUUUUUAGCAGUUUAUUUUGAUGGAUUCACACUUCUUGCAGCGUCUCAUUUCUCCCAAACUUCAAUGUUCGCCUUCCUUCUCUCUACCUCAACCUUUUUCUCUUAUGGCUAAGGAUCUGAAGGUUCAAUUUAACAGGUAAUGGCCGUUACUAAUGUGAAAUUGGGAUUUUAGGGUUCAUAUUUGGUUUAUUAUCUGGUCAAUUGCAAUUUGUAUCUUCUCAAUGAGAACCCCACAAAACAGCGUUUGUGGAGGAACCUCCCCGUUUCUUUUGACCUCCGACGUCGGAAGUGACGAUCACGAUUCUCGGUUAGCCAUCGCCGAUCUCAUAAUUUUUCCCUCUCCACCGUUACGAGACCCAAAGAUGUCCCUUUCUCAUAUGCAGGUAGGCAUAUGAUGAUGGUGAGUGGUGGCAGGCAUUGAUUUGUGUCUGGCUUUAUUCAACAUCUAACAGUGUUCUGUUUUUGUUGCGCACCAGUUGUUCGACGAAUUGUCUGAUACUCUGAUUCUCACGUUGGACUACUUGGAAUUUUCACAUGAGCAACAAUUAUUGGAAUAUUUCAAGGUUGUGCAAAGGAAACAACUUAUUACAAAGAUUCAAAGAUAUUCAAUUAGAUUUGUGAAAACGUAUAUAGGUCAUCUGAGUCUUCAUCAACUUCAUCUACCUCCACUUUAGCUGUUGGGCAUGCUUGAAGUAUACUAAGCAUAUGCAAUAAUAGUAAGCCAUUAGUUUAUGUAGCUUCAGUACCUCUUGAGGUGUUUGGCCAUGCUGAAACUGUUGGAUCCACUUUUUUGCUCAUUUGAUUUAUCUAAAUCUCAGGUGGGAAGUGCAUAUCUUAUCAUCAUUACUACAGGUGGGAAGUGCAUAUCUUAUCAUCAUUCCUAGAGUUGGCAAGUGCAGUUUGGGUAACGGGUCAAAACGGGUUCGAGUUGAAACUUAUAACUUUUGGUACGGGUUGAAAUGCUCAGCUGUGUUUGUGUUGGCUGCCUAACUUUUUUGUCCUCUAAUUAUUUGUGUAAUAUAAUAUAAUGAUUGCAUUGGUGGGGGUUGAAACUGGUCACAUGUUAUUUUGUAUUUAGAACUCAAUAGUUUCAUAUUUGAAUAUUAUAUUUGAGAGUGAUAGGUUUAUAUUGUGUUGGUUGGAUGAUGUAGGUGGUUGCACAACACAUGUCUAUUGAAAUUACAAAAAAGUACCUACAAGCUUUUCGUCCGUGUUUAAGGUUGCAUACUGCGGUUCAAAUGGAGAACUCCCAGUGACAGCUGGUCGCUUAGCUGGUACAAUAGUUUUGGAAAGACGUUGAGUUGUUAAAAGUUGGGUGAAGUAACCAGUAACCACACACAAACAAGUGUGAUUUUUGGCUUGCUAAUUCCAAAUUAUCAAUCUAGCUUGUAUCUAUCCAUGAUGUACUAUGUGUACGUGGUUAUUGGAACAUGCCCAAAAGCAUAAAUUUAUCAAAAGACCAAGUAGUUGAAUGGUUUAAUGAACAAAGGCAAUGGGUCAGCCUCUUUAAUUUGACGGAUACCCUAUAUUUUUCUCAAAUAUCACGUAAAUUAUCAUACAUUAUUUUAUGAUUUA
Helianthus annuus (common sunflower) is the source of this 1855-nucleotide long non-coding RNA. RefSeq lists it as uncharacterized. Lineage: Eukaryota; Viridiplantae; Streptophyta; Magnoliopsida; Asterales; Asteraceae. The record is from RefSeq and is a predicted model, not a curated record. The transcript has 6 exons.